CAUAAACAUCCCUCUUCAGAAUAAGUUCCCUCCUGCCAGCUUGGUUACACCCAGAUUCCAGCUCUUCUCUGGUGACUGUUCUGUGGGCCCCUGAGAGAGUAAUGAAAGCCUGGGAAAUACAGGCCAACCCUAGGCCAUCCUGGCAAGAACAGGAAAGAAGUUUGAAACCAUGGCUUCCCUCCCUGGCAUCAGGAGAGGAGCACUGAAAAGGAAACUCUCAUCACCGUGGUCUGAAGGUGUAUUAACCCUCCAUCGACCUGACAAAACUAUUCGAGAAGAGGAACAGAUUCUUUGGGAUCAUGGUUUCCUGAGGUUCAUUGUGUGACCACCUAUCCUGCCUGCAUUUUGGCCUGUGUCUGAGGUCACACAUCAUGGCAGAA
RNAcentral lists this long non-coding RNA (380 nucleotides) under Mus spicilegus (steppe mouse). Its description in RNAcentral is "lncRNA (ENSMSIG00000010880.1)". Lineage: Eukaryota; Metazoa; Chordata; Mammalia; Rodentia; Muridae. The record is from RNAcentral.